RNAcentral lists this transfer RNA (73 nucleotides) under Camelus bactrianus (Bactrian camel). It matches the Rfam family "tRNA". From Rfam's summary of the family: Transfer RNA (tRNA) molecules are approximately 80 nucleotides in length. Their secondary structure includes four short double-helical elements and three loops (D, anti-codon, and T loops). RNAcentral also lists the same sequence under 3 other names. The record is from Rfam by way of RNAcentral. Lineage: Eukaryota; Metazoa; Chordata; Mammalia; Artiodactyla; Camelidae.
GAGGGUAUAGCUCAAGUGGUAGAGUGCAUGCUUAGCAUGCACGAGGUCCUGGGUUCAAUCCCCAGUACUUCCU